RNAcentral lists this long non-coding RNA (3701 nucleotides) under Haliotis rubra (blacklip abalone). Its description in RNAcentral is "uncharacterized LOC124260917". The record is from RNAcentral. Lineage: Eukaryota; Metazoa; Mollusca; Gastropoda; Lepetellida; Haliotidae.
CCACCAUUACCAAAUUUUAUUUUUACAAAAUUUCAAGUAAAAAAGAUACCGUUAGCUCCAACCUUCACACUUCUUGUCUGCUUUCCUUGGUGUCAAUACUUACUACCGUGUUAUGUCGUACAUAGCGGUAUAAAGUAACCGACUACGUAAUCCACGAAACAAGGUGACGUCACAUUUUGUGGGCACACGAAUGGGUGAUGAUUGCAAAUGGCUUCCGUAAACAAACGUUUCAUUCAUGAGUGGAAUAUUCGGCAUUUUUAGUUUGCUGAAUCAAUGAAUAAAAUAAUCAGUGAGUAUACAGAAUGAAAUCAUGCAUUUAAAAUAUGAAUUUCGACGCACUUCCCUUAUAUCCACGAAUCAAGGUUAUGCGAGUGUAUAUGAUUUACUAUGAAUUGUCAUAAUCAUAAUGAUUUACCUUAAGAAUUGUCAUAAAUUUCAUAUUGACUUGAAGUAAGUCAUAAUUGAUAUUAUGAGACUGUGUUUCAUUAAAGUGGGUGUUUUGUUUGGGGUGAUGUUCUGUCAGAUGUUGAACCGGUAGUUAGAACAUUGGUUUAGUAUGCUAUCCUUGAAUUCCACUGUCAUGUGUAGAUCCUAACAGUUUCUGUGGGACUUUCAGCCUUGAGUACUGAUAGACGGCCUACUAGGAACACAGUUGUACCCUGAAAAACAGAUCAAGUAUGAUUUGUCAUUCAAUGGGUAUUCUGACCGUGCGGGAAAUUUACCUUCAUCCUUUCUGAUAUACACAAUCAAAGUUAAAAUAAUGUCAAUUUCACAAACUUUCUCGUUAAAUAUUGUUCAAGUGAUUUCUUUACACAAACUUGUGAUGAAGUUUUCUGCUGCCAUCUACAAUGUAGAACUUGUUGUUGUGAUGUGAAAAUAGCAUUGAUUGCUAAUUAGAUGUUGAAUCAUGUUAUUGUCUUGAAAUAAUGUUCCUGUGGGUCGAGCUUUAACAUGUUUAAGAAAAUGCAAGUUUUGCAUGAUGUUAAAUGUAUUAUCACUCGAAAGUGAAGAACUUUCCCAGUAUCUGCAAAGGUGCGUUUUUCUGUGAAAAAUCAUGCUGGACAACUUGCUGUUUGUCUUCACAAAUCAUGUGCGUUGAUUGUAAUACUGGUAGUCUUGAGCUUGUUAGUUAGAUCAAGAACAUGUUUCUUGAAGGUACUUUCUGAGAACUGAUUGUUUUGCAUUCUGUAUUUGUGUUCAAGUACCCACAAUAACUCUGCUAAUGAUCUUCUCCCAAUACCAGUAUCAAUAUGGUCAAUCUUCUCAAUGUAAAUCUGAUUUUAAUAUUUUUAUCAACAGUGACUCCAGAUAUGUGAGAUGAUCCAAACCAAUUUCACUUUAAUCCCUUUGUAUUUGCAUCUGUUAUUGGAAAUAAGACACGGACAUGCCAUAGAUGCAGCGUAAACCAGCAACUCUUCAUCUGUUGCCAUGGUUACUGCACAGGUGUUUGAAUGUACCUCAGUGACAAAUAAGUGUUAUGCUGUAUGGUAACAGUUCCUGAAAUGAGUAAGCUGUGUGUUAGAAUGUAGACACAUCAGCAGACACAUGGGGCAGCCUGUUGGCCUCAGACAUGUGGACUUCCUGGGCAGUUUUUAUACACCAUCGUAUUUGUUUGACCCACUUCAGAUAUCACCAUGACCUCUCUGACAGGGUGCCUACAUCCUGGAAGGCAGUCAUUUUCAUUUCAAUUUGUCUGUGUGAUGCUUACCUUUCUGGCAAAUUUAAGAGUGUCUUUAUUUACAUUAGUUAUGACAAAAAGGUUCACAGAUGAAUCUUUUUGAAUAUGUCGAAAGUAUACGUGUAAAGGAAGAUGAUGCAGAUAAUCCCAAAAGUGGAAAUGCAGCAUGAUGUAUUACAGGUAUCACCUUGUUUACUAUUGACAUUUGGGGUUGCGGCUACACAUAGUUCUGUCCUGCUGUAGUUGCCAUGGUGAUGACCCACAUUUGUGUCCUGGUGGAGUUUCCUAUAGCUGUGUACUAAAUGUAUGUCCGUCCUGUGGAACAUAGGAGUAAGUAGGGUCGGGGGGAGGGGGAUGGAGACAAGGGUACAAGGAAAAUCUUGUGGGGUACAGAAGUCUGAUGGUAGGGUGGGCAGGUGAUGAUCAGACACAUCAGGACCAACAUGGUAUCCAGUGUAAAGUAUAUUGAGAUGCUUUAAAAGAUCCUGUGUGAUUCAACAGAUACUACUUCCCUAAAAACCGAUCCAGGAUUGUGCUGACAAAACUAGCCCCCAGAGGAUUUGUUAUUUUUGCUAACAGUUGUGGCUAACAUAUGAAGAUCAAACACACACAGCUCUGGAUCUUCUGGGAUAUAGCUCUUGAACCUUGCUCAUCAUUUUAACCUUUUUAGCAGAAUGGCUGAGUUAAAUGCAGGAUUCAGCAUUGAUGGAUUCAUGUCCAGUGAUGGCUUCCUGAUACCAGGGUAACGAGGGAGGCUUGAACGUAUGUCCUGGUGAUCUCAAAUAAUUACACUUUAUGUGGUACUCGUCUUUGCUACAUGUGCUUAUUUUCUGUGUAUGAAUGAGAAGUUCCACUGCAGAUUCUGUGCAACAUUCAAAAAAUCUGUUCAGUGUUGCUACGCUCUUCAGUACGUCUUGAUUAACACCAUGUGUGAGGCUGGAGUCGACCGUGUUUACGGUAUAUUCAGAUGUUUCCUUGUCUCUACCUACAACGUUAGUGCUUAUCAUGAUGAAUGGUCAUUGCAUUGUAUGUGACUCAUACUUAAGGGUCAUGUUGUUUCACGUCUUCCGUAGUUAUUAGGAAGACUGGUCUGAUAAUUUUUUCAGUUUUCCACAUUGCCUUUUAAGAAGCAGAAAGUGCAAUAGAAGAAUCAUUUAACUGAGGUUAAAUUCCUUAAAGACUUGACAGUGAGGUUCGACACAGAUUCCAACAAAAACUUGUUGAAAAAUACCACAGUUUUCAACCAUUUGGAUGACUCUUAUUGUUUUGGUUGACUGACUUGUAAAACAGAAAAAUCAAUUAUCUGACUUAAUUAUGAAAACUGUCAUCCCCAGACCCAGUCUUGGACUUUUCCAAUAUGCCAUAAACUUUUAGAAAGUAGAUACAGGAUUUGUAUGUAAGAAGUUCCUAUGUCUCAGCUUUCAGGUAUCACAUUAUUUGGUGAUUGUUAUUUCAUAUAUAGGAUGUAUUAGCUAUUGACGCAAAUUUUGUCGGAAUUCUUAUUUCGAAUCCAAAGUUUGUGUUCAGUUCCCUUGUGCUAACGUUGAAUGUUUGUUGAAUGUUAUUUUAUGUCAUUGACUUGAUCAUAUCUAAGGGAGACAAUAAGAUUAUUCAUAAAUCAUGGAGUUAUCUCCCAUACCUGAAAUGUACAACGCUUUGUUCAUCAGCAGUUGUCUUGAUGCCCCACAAUUGAGCGGUUAUAAAACUUGUCUCAUCUGUGGCAUCAAGCAGUAUGUCACCUGUCAGGUGAUCGUCGUGAGUACCUCGAUUUGAGGCGUUUUAACAUUGCCAUGGUGUUGUGGCUGGUUAGGUGUUUUCUGCCUUGAAUAUCUAAAAAUGUACUCAAAUGUCUCAAUUUUGUAGUAUUUGACACUUAUCAGCAUGGAAACUAUUGAAGACGAAGCUGUUACGAUUUAACAGAAGUGUGAAGUAUGACCUGUGGUGUGAAUAAUCCUGCUUCAGUUGUCCAGUUUGCUUGUGUACGUCAUGAACUAUAUAUCACAUAAAUCAUGGAGUAGUCACG